Molecule: long non-coding RNA, 918 nt
Filed under: Salmo salar (Atlantic salmon)
Lineage: Eukaryota; Metazoa; Chordata; Actinopteri; Salmoniformes; Salmonidae
Description: lncRNA (ENSSSAG00000120423.1)
Source: RNAcentral
GUGUAACCAGGGUGUAGUGAUGUAGUAAAUUAAUGUCAUCAGGUGUGGAGGUGUAACCAGGGUGUAGUGAUGUAGUAAAUUAAUGUCACCAGGUGUGGAGGUGUAACCAGGGUGUAGUGAUGUAGUAAAUUAAUGUCACCAGGUGUGGAGGUGUAACCAGGGUGUAGUGAUGUAGUAAAUUAAUGUCACCAGGUGUGGAGGUGUAACCAGGGUGUAGUGAUGUAGUAAAUUAAUGUCACCAGGUGUGGAGGUAUAACCAGGGUGUAGUGAUGUAGUAAAUUAAUGUGACCAGGUGUGGAGGUGUAACCAGGGUGUAGUGAUGUAGUAAAUUAAUGUCACCAGGUGUGGAGGUGUAACCAGGGUGUAGUGCUGCUAGAGGUUUAAUUAAUAAAAUACUAUGUGAUCUUAACUCACCUGUCCAUCGUCUGCUGUGUCCCUUGUGUCAGAGGUGGAUUUGGAGGCCUUCCUGUUUUACACGUCAACAAAUGAAUGAAUGAAUGAAUGAAUAAUCAAGUUAAUAAAUUAAAAUGAUAAUGUGAAAUGACGGUCUUAGAAAGAUUCUCACCUGAACCACAUGAAGACAGAGAGACGGAGUAUGAUAAUCUGUGAUUCCUUCAGCUGAAGUCAUAACUGAGGUCUGUUUCUCUAAAGGUUCAACAAAAAGGUGGAUGAUAUGAAUACACAUGUUAUCAUAUAGUGGAGCUUGAAAUGAAAUAUCCUUGUAUUUGAAUCUCACAUUUUUUACCUGUACUUGUUGACUUUCUCUCAGAUAUGUGAUUCUCAGGGUGGAGUGACUCACUCUAUCCGAUAGUACUCUGAAUGACCACCAUUCCCAGGUUUCACACCAGACCAUCUAUAGGACCAUGAUGCUUUUAUGACUGUAUGACCUCUGGGAUAUGUGUUAGAACAGGACAGGUC